UCGCCUGUUUAUCAAAAACAUGGCCUAUUGUAAUUUAUUUUAGGUUUAGCCUGCUCUAUGAGUAUUUAAAUGGCCGCGGUAUUUUGACCGUGCUAAGGUAGCAUAAUCAUUAGUUUCUUAAUUAGAAGCUGGAAUGAAUGGUUGGAUGAGAAAAUUUCUGUCUCUGAUUAAUAUUAUUAGAAUUUUAUUUUUUAGUGAAAAAGCUAAAAUUUAUUUGAAAGACGAGAAGACCCUAUAGAGUUUAAUAUAAAAAAAUCUCUAAAAAUAGUCUUAGGAUAGAUAGUUUUAAUUUUUUUUUAUAUUUAAUUGGGGUGAUUGAUAAAUGAAAUUAACUUUUUUAUAUUUUUUACAUUGAUUUAUGA
Molecule: ribosomal RNA, 362 nt
Filed under: Callosobruchus analis
Lineage: Eukaryota; Metazoa; Arthropoda; Insecta; Coleoptera; Chrysomelidae
Description: partial 16S ribosomal RNA
Rfam family: Archaeal large subunit ribosomal RNA (bases 1-208)
Source: RNAcentral